Benincasa hispida (wax gourd) is the source of this 1853-nucleotide non-coding RNA. NCBI's taxonomy places the organism in Eukaryota, Viridiplantae, Streptophyta, Magnoliopsida, Cucurbitales, Cucurbitaceae. The record is from RefSeq and is a predicted model, not a curated record.
CUCCAAAGUAGAAAAAGCCCUAAAAUUCAUAUACCAGCGUCGGCGAACUUAUCAAAACUUCUCGUAGUCUCAACCUACAAAUUCUCAAUGGCGAAUCAAUAGUAUUACCAAAUUACAAGUUCCCAAUCUUCUGGAGAGGGAAAUUACUCACUAUUCGAGCUUCUUUUAACAAAGUACUAACAAAUCAUGGAAAUUUGAGGCAUCCCUUACUCACUAGAUCUGAAAUCCUCUAGAGGUAUAUCUUAUGUGCUUUUGUGGCAAAGCAUUAUAUCUCUCAUUCUAUCAUUGGUCUAUGAUCGCAUUGCGUCUAAAUUUCUAAAUGUAUGUCGAUAAACAUGUGCUGUAGGUUGUGGUAGACCAUCUCUCUUCAUGUGCAAUUUUGUAACUAUUUAUUUAACACAAAGAAUUGGAGCUUUCUGAAUAUAUUACUGCAAAGUUGCAUAAUUUCCCACAUUGUUAGUUUAAAUUGUAUCUUUAGCUUGUGAUCAUAAUACAUUUCUACACGAGACAGGGAAUUGGCUGUCCCUUAAACUCUUGCUGUUGGUAGGAUUUCUUUGCCGAUGAAGGAUACAUCUCGAGAUUGGCCUGUUGCAAUUGCAAGUACUGUUUGUAUAUAUGCUGUGGCAAUUCAUAUCAUACUAGAAAUUUAAUGUUUUUAUUUUGGAAUUAACCCCAUUUGUUUUGGCUUUUUGUCAUGGUUGUAAAAGAUAAUUCGUUUGAAAUCAUCAUAGACACCUAGUGGUAAAUAGAAAUGCAUGACCGUGAUAAAGGAUUAAGAGGGGUAUAUAAUGAGUUCAAUUCAUGGUGACCACUUAUCUAAGAUUUAAUAUUCUAAGUUUUUUUUUUUACACCCACAUGUUGUAGGAUCAGACAGGUUGUCUGGUGAGAUUAGUCAAGGUACGUGUAAAUUGGUAUGUAUACCCUAAAUAGCAAAGAAAAAUAAGAUAUUUUGUUUGAAAUGAGGAAAUUUUGAAUAUUAGUUGGUGAGAGGGAACAUUUUUUAAUGAAGCAGCAAAAACAAUAUAGAUUUAAAAAAGUAAAUAUAAUGUUGACUACAGAAUUCAAAUACUUUUGAGGUUUCUUAAUUCAACUUAGAUCGUAAAACUACUACAUCGUUUGUAGCAACUUGUAUAAACUCUGUAGUAGCUUGUAUAAUCUCUUAGGAGGCGUGCAGUUCGAUACUAUUGACAUCUUUCUUUUUAGAUUCACUUAUCUACUCUCUUUUGUUCACUCGUCUAUGGUUUCUUUUUAGUCAACUAAAAAAAUUAUAGAGGCGAGAGGAUAACCUAAAAAGAAAAGAAAAAAAAAACUAAUGUUAGUUUCUGACUUUCCAAAAGACGAAAUCAAUAUGGACGAAAAAAAUACUUAUUUUUGAACUUUGUUUCUAUACUAUCUCAUUUUGCAAAUGUUUUUUGAAACUAUCUAUUUUAAUACUUAAAUCCAUCCAUUUUGAACCGAAAUGAUACACAGAAAAUUUAGGACUAAAGAAGCUAUGGCAUAAAAUUUAGUGACCACAAUAGCAACUUUUCAUAUUUCUUUUGUAUAUUGAUUGUGAUGUUAGAUUUGAUUUUAUGCUUUUGUUUGUUACUUUUAAGUAUAAAUUAUAUAAUUAAGAUAGAGUAGGUAAAGUUAUUCAUAUAAUAAGUUAAAUUAAGUACUAAAUAUAAGUUGUAAAUUAAUAUAUAUAAUAAAUAAUCAUGUAACCAUGUAUUAAUGUAUUAAUAUACGAAUAAAAAAAUUAUGGAAUCUGCAUGUGUGUGUAUGUGCAUGUGUGCAUGCAUUGAAUGUCUAUUUGUAUGUCCAUGCAUGAAUGUGCAUGUGUGUUGUGCGUGUGGAAAAAAGAUAAAGGAAAG